RNAcentral lists this unclassified non-coding RNA (2611 nucleotides) under Hevea brasiliensis (rubber tree). Lineage: Eukaryota; Viridiplantae; Streptophyta; Magnoliopsida; Malpighiales; Euphorbiaceae. The record is from RNAcentral.
GUCACAACAAAGUCCUCCUUUGCUUUCCUCGCUUUCUCUUUCGUUCCCUGUCUGUCGCACAGAGAGAGAGUUCAUUCCCGGAUCUCACUCUCUGGAUCCACGCACAGGGUAUGCUUCAGCCAAGUUAUUGUGCCUCCUCUAUUUAGCAAACUGGUAGACACUGAUAGAAAUUGGUUUGUGAACAAAGAAUCUUGUACCGUUAUGGGUCGCUUAAAGCUGCAAUCCGGAAUUAAGGCAAUUGAGGAAGAACCUGAAGAAUGUGACUCUUCCUACGCUAACAAGGCUACUUUAGCAUGUAUGAUUAAUGCGGAAGUAGGUGCAGUAUUGGCGGUCAUGAGAAGAAAUGUAAGAUGGGGAGGUCGUUAUAUUUCUGGUGAUGAUCAGCUAGAGCACUCUUUGAUUCAGUCUUUGAAGGCAUUGCGGAAACAGAUAUUCUCAUGGCAGCAUCCAUGGAAUACCAUCAAUCCUGCUGUGUAUCUCCAACCAUUUCUGGAUGUGAUUCGAUCAGAUGAAACUGGUGCUCCAAUCACUGGGGUUGCUUUGUCAUCUGUUUACAAGAUUUUAACUCUUGAUGUGAUUGAUCAAAACACUGUAAAUGUUGAAGAUGCUAUGCACUUGGUAGUUGAUGCAGUGACAAGUUGCCGAUUUGAGGUGACUGAUCCAGCAUCAGAAGAGGUGGUGCUAAUGAAGAUACUUCAGGUUCUUCUAGCUUGUAUGAAAAGUAAAGCUUCGGUCACACUUAGUAAUCAACAUGUCUGUACCAUAGUGAACACUUGUUUCCGUAUAGUUCACCAAGCAGGAACUAAAGGUGAGUUGUUACAGCGUAUAGCUCGGCACACAAUGCAUGAACUUGUUAGGUGCAUUUUUUCACACCUGCCAGAUGUUGACGACACAGAGCAUGCACUGGUUAAUGGAGUUAGUCCUGCCAAACAGGAGAUUGCUGGUCUAGAUAAUGAUUACACUUUUGGGAGCAAACAAAUAGAAAAUGGCAGUAGUUCUGAGUUGGAUGGUCAAACAUCCUCUGUUAGCUAUGGUUCGAGUGCUUCCACAGGUCUGGUGGCAACUGUAAUGGAAGAAAGUACUAUUGGAGGUAGUAGUGGAAAGGAUGCCCUUCCAUAUGAUUUGCACCUUAUGACAGAGCCAUAUGGUGUCCCCUGCAUGGUGGAGAUAUUUCACUUCUUGUGUUCUUUAUUAAAUGUUGUUGAACAUAUGGGAAUGGGUCCCAGAUCUAAUACAAUAGCAUUUGAUGAAGAUGUACCCCUUUUUGCUUUGGGCUUAAUUAAUUCAGCUAUUGAAUUGGGUGGGCCUUCUAUUCGUCGUCAUCCCAGGUUACUGAGUUUGAUCCAGGAUGAAUUAUUUCGUAAUCUGAUGCAGUUUGGCUUGUCAAUGAGCCCACUAAUUCUCUCAAUGGUUUGUAGUAUUGUUCUCAACCUGUAUCACCAUCUGCGUACUGAACUCAAAUUGCAGCUUGAGGCUUUCUUCUCUUGUGUCAUUCUGAGACUUGCACAGAGCAAAUAUGGUGCUUUAUACCAACAGCAAGAGGUUGCUAUGGAGGCUCUUGUAGACUUCUGCAGGCAGAAAACAUUUAUGGUUGAGAUGUAUGCUAAUUUGGAUUGUGACAUAACAUGCAGUAAUGUGUUUGAAGACCUAGCUAAUUUGUUGUCAAAGAAUGCAUUUCCAGUAAACUGCCCUUUGUCUGCAAUGCACAUUCUUGCUUUGGAUGGUCUCAUAGCUGUUAUUCAGGGGAUGGCUGAAAGGAUAGGCAAUGGAUCAGUUAACUCAGAACAGGCACCAGUGAACCUUGAGGAGUAUACACCCUUCUGGAUGGUGAAGUGUGACAACUAUAGUGAUCCUAAUCACUGGGUUCCCUUUGUCCGCCGGAGAAAGUAUAUUAAGAGAAGAUUGAUGAUUGGAGCUGAUCACUUCAACCGUGAUCCAAAGAAAGGCCUAGAAUUUCUCCAAGGAACACAUCUCUUGCCUGACAAACUUGACCCUCAAAGUGUGGCCUGCUUUUUCAGGUAUACUGCUGGGUUAGAUAAGAAUCUUGUUGGGGAUUUCCUGGGCAAUCAUGAUGAGUUUUGUGUUCAAGUUCUUCAUGAAUUUGCUGGGACAUUUGAUUUCCAAGGCAUGAACUUGGACACUGCUCUGCGGCUGUUCUUGGAAACUUUUAGAUUGCCUGGAGAAUCUCAAAAAAUACAAAGGGUGCUAGAGGCAUUUUCUGAGAGAUACUAUGAGCAAUCACCACAGAUCCUAGCUAACAAGGAUGCUGCUCUUUUGUUAUCUUAUUCUCUCAUAAUGCUUAACACAGAUCAGCAUAAUGUGCAGGUGAAGAAAAAGAUGACAGAAGAGGAUUUUAUCCGGAAUAAUAGGCACAUCAAUGGAGGCAAUGACUUGCCUCGAGAAUUCCUGUGUGAAUUGUACCACUCAAUUUGUAAGAAUGAGAUACGGACAACUCCAGAACAAGGAGCUGGUUUCCCUGAAAUGACCCCAAGUCGUUGGAUUGAUCUAAUGCACAAAUCCCAGAAAACUGCUCCAUUUAUUGUAUCUGAUUCAAGAGCCUACCUUGACCAUGACAUGUUUGCUAUAAUGUCAGGUCCCACAAUUGCUGCUA